RNAcentral lists this ribosomal RNA (400 nucleotides) under uncultured bacterium. RNAcentral describes it as "bacterial SSU rRNA". It matches the Rfam family "Bacterial small subunit ribosomal RNA", at positions 356 to 773 of the family's 1533-position model. The record is from RNAcentral.
GGGGAAUAUUGCACAAUGGAGGAAACUCUGAUGCAGCAACGCCGCGUGAGUGAUGAAGGUCUUCGGAUUGUAAAGCUCUGUCUUCUGGGACGAUAAUGACGGUACCAGAGGAGGAAGCCACGGCUAACUACGUGCCAGCAGCCGCGGUAAUACGUAGGUGGCAAGCGUUGUCCGGAUUUACUGGGCGUAAAGGGAGCGUAGGUGGAUAUUUAAGUGGGAUGUGAAAUCCCCGGGCUUAACUUGGGGGCUGCAUUUCAAACUGGAUGUCUAGAGUGCAGGAGAGGAAAGCAGAAUUCCUAGUGUAGCGGUGAAAUGCGUAGAGAUUAGGAAGAAUACCAGUGGCGAAGGCGGCUUUCUGGACUGUAACUGACGCUGAGGCAUGAAAGCGUGGGGAGCAAAC